This 1439-nucleotide ribosomal RNA is filed under the name Vibrio harveyi. Its description in RNAcentral is "16S ribosomal RNA". It matches the Rfam family "Bacterial small subunit ribosomal RNA". The record is from RNAcentral. Lineage: Bacteria; Pseudomonadati; Pseudomonadota; Gammaproteobacteria; Vibrionales; Vibrionaceae.
UUGGAGAGUUUGAUCCUGGCUCAGAUUGAACGCUGGCGGCAGGUCCUAACACAUGCAAGUCGAGCGGAAACGAGUUAUCUGAACCUUCGGGGAACGAUAACGGCGUCGAGCGGCGGACGGGUGAGUAAUGCCUAGGAAAUUGCCCUGAUGUGGGGGAUAACCAUUGGAAACGAUGGCUAAUACCGCAUGAUGCCUACGGGCCAAAGAGGGGGACCUUCGGGCCUCUCGCGUCAGGAUAUGCCUAGGUGGGAUUAGCUAGUUGGUGAGGUAAGGGCUCACCAAGGCGACGAUCCCUAGCUGGUCUGAGAGGAUGAUCAGCCACACUGGAACUGAGACACGGUCCAGACUCCUACGGGAGGCAGCAGUGGGGAAUAUUGCACAAUGGGCGCAAGCCUGAUGCAGCCAUGCCGCGUGUGUGAAGAAGGCCUUCGGGUUGUAAAGCACUUUCAGUCGUGAGGAAGGUUGAGUGUAGUUAAUAGCUGCAUUAUUUGACGUUAGCGACAGAAGAAGCACCGGCUAACUCCGUGCCAGCAGCCGCGGUAAUACGGAGGGUGCGAGCGUUAAUCGGAAUUACUGGGCGUAAAGCGCAUGCAGGUGGUUUGUUAAGUCAGAUGUGAAAGCCCGGGGCUCAACCUCGGAAUAGCAUUUGAAACUGGCAGACUAGAGUACUGUAGAGGGGGGUAGAAUUUCAGGUGUAGCGGUGAAAUGCGUAGAGAUCUGAAGGAAUACCGGUGGCGAAGGCGGCCCCCUGGACAGAUACUGACACUCAGAUGCGAAAGCGUGGGGAGCAAACAGGAUUAGAUACCCUGGUAGUCCACGCCGUAAACGAUGUCUACUUGGAGGUUGUGGCCUUGAGCCGUGGCUUUCGGAGCUAACGCGUUAAGUAGACCGCCUGGGGAGUACGGUCGCAAGAUUAAAACUCAAAUGAAUUGACGGGGGCCCGCACAAGCGGUGGAGCAUGUGGUUUAAUUCGAUGCAACGCGAAGAACCUUACCUACUCUUGACAUCCAGAGAACUUUCCAGAGAUGGAUUGGUGCCUUCGGGAACUCUGAGACAGGUGCUGCAUGGCUGUCGUCAGCUCGUGUUGUGAAAUGUUGGGUUAAGUCCCGCAACGAGCGCAACCCUUAUCCUUGUUUGCCAGCGAGUAAUGUCGGGAACUCCAGGGAGACUGCCGGUGAUAAACCGGAGGAAGGUGGGGACGACGUCAAGUCAUCAUGGCCCUUACGAGUAGGGCUACACACGUGCUACAAUGGCGCAUACAGAGGGCGGCCAACUUGCGAAAGUGAGCGAAUCCCAAAAAGUGCGUCGUAGUCCGGAUUGGAGUCUGCAACUCGACUCCAUGAAGUCGGAAUCGCUAGUAAUCGUGGAUCAGAAUGCCACGGUGAAUACGUUCCCGGGCCUUGUACACACCGCCCGUCACACCAUGGGAGUGGGCUGCA